UACGAAGGGGGCUAGCGUUGCUCGGAAUCACUGGGCGUAAAGCGCACGUAGGCGGCUUACUAAGUCAGGGGUGAAAUCCUGGAGCUCAACUCCAGAACUGCCUUUGAUACUGGUGAGCUUGAGUCCGGGAGAGGUGAGUGGAACUGCGAGUGUAGAGGUGAAAUUCGUAGAUAUUCGGCGGAACACCAGUGGCGAAGGCGACUCACUGGCCCGAUACUGACGCUGAGGCGCGAAAGCGUGGGGAGCAAACAGG
This 253-nucleotide ribosomal RNA is filed under the name uncultured bacterium. RNAcentral describes it as "partial 16S ribosomal RNA". It matches the Rfam family "Bacterial small subunit ribosomal RNA", at positions 524 to 776 of the family's 1533-position model. The record is from RNAcentral.